GACGAACGCUGGCGGCGUGCUUAACACAUGCAAGUCGAACGGCAGCGCCUGCUUUCCUUUGUGGAUUGCGGGUGCUCGAGUGGCGAACGGGUGAGUACAACGUGAGUUAUCUGCCCGCAACUUGGGUAUAAGCCUGGGAAACUGGAUCUCCUUACCGAUACGACUGCAGGGUGGUGCGUGUGGUGGAAAACGAUUUUCUAGUGGUUGGGGAUGGGCUGGCGGCCUAUCAGCUGGUUGUUGGGGUAAUGGCCUACCAAGGCGGCGAGGGGUAGCCGGCCUGAGAUGGUGGACAGCGACAGUGGGACUGAGACACGACACAGACUCCUACGGGAGGCAGCAGUGGGGAAUAUUGGACAGUGGGCGGAAGCCUGACGCAGCGACGCCGCGUGGAGGAUGACCGCCUUGGGGAGGUAAACUCCUUUCGACCGCGAGGAGGCCGCCUGGUUGGAAGGGUGGUGACGGUACUGGAAGAAGAAGCACCGGCUAACUACGUG
RNAcentral lists this ribosomal RNA (494 nucleotides) under uncultured bacterium. Its description in RNAcentral is "partial 16S ribosomal RNA". It matches the Rfam family "Bacterial small subunit ribosomal RNA", at positions 28 to 507 of the family's 1533-position model. The record is from RNAcentral.